RNAcentral lists this ribosomal RNA (400 nucleotides) under uncultured bacterium. RNAcentral's name for it is "bacterial SSU rRNA". It matches the Rfam family "Bacterial small subunit ribosomal RNA", at positions 94 to 526 of the family's 1533-position model. The record is from RNAcentral.
AGCGGCGCACGGGUGAGUAACACGUGGAUUAUCUACCCUCUGAUGGGGAAUAACCUUGGGAAACUGAGGCUAAUACCGCAUAAGUUCGAGAGAAGAAAGCCGAAAGGCGUCAGGGGAGGAGUCCGCGGCCGAUUAGCUAGUUGGUGGGGUAAGAGCCCACCAAGGCGACGAUCGGUAGCCGGCCUGAGAGGGCACACGGCCACACUGGCACUGAAACACGGGCCAGACUCCUACGGGAGGCAGCAGUGGGGAAUCUUGCACAAUGGGGGAAACCCUGAUGCAGCGACGCCGCGUGAGUGAUGAAGCCCUUCGGGGUGUAAAGCUCUUUCGGCAGGGACGAUAAUGACGGUACCUGCAGAAGAAGCUGCGGCUAACUACGUGCCAGCAGCCGCGGUAAUAC